ACUCAAAGGAAUUGACGGGGACCCGCACAAGCGGUGGAGCAUGUGGAUUAAUUCGAUACUAACCGAAGAACCUUACCCAGGUUUGACAUCGAGGGAAAGCCUAUGAAAGUAGGCCCUCGCUCACAAGGCGACCCGAAGACAGAUGUUGCAUGGCUGUCGUCAGCUCGUGCCGUGAGGUGUACGGUUAAGUCCGCCAACGAGCGCAACCCUCGUCGUGUGUUACCAGCGAGUAAUGUCGGGAACUCACACGAGACCGCCGGUGUAAGCCGGAGGAAGGUGGGGAUGACGUCAAGUCAGCAUGGCUCUUACGCCUGGGGCUUCACACAUGCUACAAUGGGCGCAACAAAGGGCAGCAAUACCGUGAGGUGGAGCUAAUCCCAAAAAUACGCCCCCAGUUCAGAUUGUAGUCUGCAACUCGACUACAUGAAGUCGGAAUCGCUAGUAAACGCAGGUCAGCUAUACUGCGUUGAAUACGUUCCCGGGUCUUGCACACACCGCCCGU
Molecule: ribosomal RNA, 502 nt
Filed under: uncultured bacterium
Lineage: Bacteria
Description: partial 16S ribosomal RNA
Rfam family: Bacterial small subunit ribosomal RNA
Source: RNAcentral